RNAcentral lists this unclassified non-coding RNA (729 nucleotides) under Hevea brasiliensis (rubber tree). The record is from RNAcentral. Lineage: Eukaryota; Viridiplantae; Streptophyta; Magnoliopsida; Malpighiales; Euphorbiaceae.
ACCCAGAGAUUUAUCUGAUGAAACGCCGCCAUCUAUUCCCGAGAAUGUUGGCCUCCAUAACUUUGAUGAGUCUGCGAUUUUGGCCUCCAAGCUUAGACAGCACCAGAUCAGUGGAGGUCCCUCUCCUGCAGCUGCGGCCACUGCUAAGCUCAUACUUCAGCAGCAGCUCAUGAUGGCCACGAGAGGAGGUGGGAUGCCUCAGAACGACGUAGUUGAUGGGUCUUCCUUCAAUUCUCCUACUCAGGGAGGAGAUGGGUCAGUGCAAGCGCUGUAUAGUAAUGGGUUUGGUGCUGGAUUUAUGCAUGGGACUGGGCAGCCAUCUAACCACUCUCAGCAGCAUUUUCACCAUCCUCAGGCACAAGGAGGGGCCCUGCAGGCACAGAACUUUGGAAACCCAGGGAUUACUACAGUGAUGAACCAAACUCAGGCAAGCGGGUCAACCGGUGGUGCACCGGCGCAGCCCAGACAAAGGGUGAGGGCUAGAAGGGGUCAAGCCACUGACCCACACAGCAUAGCUGAAAGGUUACGAAGGGAGAGAAUUGCAGAGAGAAUGAAAGCUCUGCAAGAACUGGUUCCCAAUGCCAAUAAGACAGACAAGGCUUCAAUGCUAGAUGAGAUCAUAGACUACGUCAAAUUCCUCCAGCUUCAAGUGAAGGUGCUGAGCAUGAGCAGAUUGGGCGGUGCAGCAGCGGUGGCUCCACUCGUUGCUGAUAUGUCCUCUGAGGGGGG